CUUGCCCUACGGGAGGCAGCAGUGGGGAAUAUUGGGCAAUGGGCGCAAGCCUGACCCAGCAACGCCGCGUGAAGGAAGAAGGCCCUCGGGUUGUAAACUUCUUUUAUCAAGGACGAAACAAAUGACGGUACUUGAUGAAUAAGCCACGGCUAACUACGUGCCAGCAGCCGCGGUAAUACGUAGGUGGCAAGCGUUAUCCGGAUUUACUGGGUGUAAAGGGCGUGUAGGCGGGACUGCAAGGCAGAUGUGAAAACCAUGGGCCCAACCCAUUGCCUGCAUUUGAAACUGUAGGUCUUAAGUGUUGG
This 305-nucleotide ribosomal RNA is filed under the name uncultured bacterium. RNAcentral's name for it is "bacterial SSU rRNA". It matches the Rfam family "Bacterial small subunit ribosomal RNA", at positions 332 to 652 of the family's 1533-position model. The record is from RNAcentral.